UACGAGAGGAACAAUAAGUGAUGACCUCUGGGUGUAGCGAUUAAUUAUUCAAUUAUGUUGCAAAACUACGUCAUGAAUAAUAAAUGCUGAAAGCCUCUUAAGCAUGAAGUUAAUCUUAAUGAUAAACAACUGAGGAAUACUACCUCUUUGAAGAGUGGGACUGUAAGAAUGAAGGUGUAUACCGACAUUUUGAGGUUACCAUUUCGUUCUGUAUAAAAAUA
This 221-nucleotide ribosomal RNA is filed under the name Nosema assamensis. RNAcentral's name for it is "partial large subunit ribosomal RNA". It matches the Rfam family "Archaeal large subunit ribosomal RNA", at positions 2752 to 2987 of the family's 2987-position model. Lineage: Eukaryota; Fungi; Microsporidia; Nosematidae. The record is from RNAcentral.